Molecule: ribosomal RNA, 784 nt
Filed under: Clostridioides difficile
Lineage: Bacteria; Bacillati; Bacillota; Clostridia; Peptostreptococcales; Peptostreptococcaceae
Description: bacterial LSU rRNA
Rfam family: Bacterial large subunit ribosomal RNA
Source: RNAcentral
UGGUCAAGUUAUUAAGGGUGCAGGGCGGAUGCCUUGGCACUAGGAGCCGAUGAAGGACGUGAUAAGCUGCGAUAAGCUUCGGGGAGUUGCACGUAAACUUUGAUCCGAAGAUUUCCGAAUGAGGAAACUCACUUAGAGUAAUGUCUAAGUAUCAUUAAGUGAAUACAUAGCUUAAUGAGGGGAACUCAGGGAACUGAAACAUCUAAGUACCUGAAGGAAGAGAAAGAAAUUCGAUGCCGUAAGUAGCGGCGAGCGAACGCGGAUUAGCCCAAACCAAUAAAGUUUUCUUUAUUGGGGUUGCGGACAUAUCAUAACGAAGAGGUAUCGUAAUUGAAGAGGUUUGGAAAGACCCACCACAGAAGGUAAUAGUCCUGUAUGUUAAACGAGAAGACUUUAGAUAUGAUCCAGAGUACCACGGGACACGUGAAACCCUGUGGGAAGCAGGAGGGACCACCCUCCAAGGCUAAAUACUACCUAGUGACCGAUAGCGUAUAGUACCGUGAGGGAAAGGUGAAAAGAACCCCGGGAGGGGAGUGAAAUAGAACCUGAAACCCUGCACUUACAAGCUGUGGAAGCACAUUUCUUGUGUGACCGCGUACUUUUUGUAGAACGGGCCAACGAGUUACGUUAAGUAGCAAGGUUAAGCACUUAAGGUGCGGAGCCGUAGCGAAAGCGAGUUUUAACUGAGCGUUCAGUUACUUGACGUAGACCCGAAACCGGGCGACCUACCCAUGAGCAGGAUGAAGCGAAAGUAAAAUUUCGUGGAGGUCCGAACCCACGAGCG